GCCUGAAAUUUUGAAAAGAGAAAAGAGAUUGCUCCAGUAAAAAGAAAAAGCCCUAGUAAAUUCGCCGGGCUUCCUUCUCUGAACAAAUUGCUGUGCAGCGCCGCCUCAUUCACGCCUGAAUCGCCAACGCUGGACUUCUCCGAUUGUCUAAUUGUAUUCGCUGAUUAAGCGAAAACGAGGUUUGUUAUUGGAUUGAAAGAUGCUGAGCUCUACUGUUGUCAAGAAAUUGAAGCCUUUGGCCUCAUCCUUGGAUCAUUCUCUAAGCUACCAGCUCCUUCAGAGAUGCUCUGUCAGUGGCACUGCGAAGGGGAAGGGUAAGAUCAAGACCGGGCAGCCGUUGAAGCGAUCGAAGGUCACUACGAAGAAGGGGACACCGCCCGAUCCAUCUAAGAAAGAAGGGCCGAGGAAGAAGAGCAAUUUUGAUGAAAUGGUUGAGCAAUGUUUGACUGCCACUGCACCACGGAGGUUCUUGAAGCCCAAAGAGAAGGAGAGGGAAGCCGAGCGAGAGAUGAUGGGGCUCGUAAGUAAGGCGAACGAGCAGGCGAAAGAGAAGCUAAAGAAACAAACCGAUGAAUUUGUUUCACCUUGGGCCAUAGGAACUUCGGGUUUGGAUUAUAUUAGUUUAGGGUUAGUUGAUGCUGAUAAGAUCCCGAAGUACGAUCUGAGUGUUGAGGAUGGACGAAGGCUUGCGAAGGAGUAUAGUAGGACCUUGAUGAGGCAGCAUAGAGCAAGGCGGGCGGCAGAGACGCUGCUGUUGCAGUGUAAGAAAGAAGCAAUUGAGGCAUUGCCUGAGCAUCUGAGAGCAGCUGCUUUAGUCCCGGAUUUGACUCCUUUUCCAGCGAAUAGAUUUAUGGCAACACUGACCCCACCAAUUGAAGGCUAUAGUGAGAAGAUCAACGAGGCAGCACGGAAGAGUGUUGAAGGGAAGAAGCGUAGAUGAUAAGAGGCUAGUCGACCUCAAAGUUUGAUGGAAUGAAUAAUUUUGAGCUUGUGAUUGUCCGAUUCUUCAAAUUCGCAAUCAGGUGAAGCUUCAAUGCCAGUUUGCAGCUUCAGUUUGUGGUGGUCUUGGGCUUAUGAUAUGAUGACUAAAUUGUUGCAGCAUAUGCAGCUUUGGUUAGUUAAGUCACAUUUUGGUUGGUUGAUAGUUGUUGCUUGCUGCAAAUAAGAAUCUAGCAGUAGUCAUGUUAGCAAUCUCCAAUGGCUCUUUUGACUAGUAUUUCAAAUCAUUGUGGAUCCUUUAUUUCAUUCUUGGAUCUUGGUUUGCUUGCAUGGGAAUUCUUGGUUGUUUUGUUGUAUGUAGGGGAUGAGUAAUCGUACAAAUGAAGGAAUGGGAAGAAAACACCUCCUUUUGCUUUCA
Molecule: non-coding RNA, 1357 nt
Organism: Salvia hispanica
Lineage: Eukaryota; Viridiplantae; Streptophyta; Magnoliopsida; Lamiales; Lamiaceae
Source: RefSeq, a predicted model, not a curated record